Molecule: ribosomal RNA, 475 nt
Filed under: Lacticaseibacillus rhamnosus
Lineage: Bacteria; Bacillati; Bacillota; Bacilli; Lactobacillales; Lactobacillaceae
Description: bacterial SSU rRNA
Rfam family: Bacterial small subunit ribosomal RNA
Source: RNAcentral
GAUGAACGCUGGCGGCGUGCCUAAUACAUGCAAGUCGAACGAGUUCUGAUUAUUGAAAGGUGCUUGCAUCUUGAUUUAAUUUUGAACGAGUGGCGGACGGGUGAGUAACGCGUGGGUAACCUGCCCUUAAGUGGGGGAUAACAUUUGGAAACAGAUGCUAAUACCGCAUAAAUCCAAGAACCGCAUGGUUCUUGGCUGAAAGAUGGCGUAAGCUAUCGCUUUUGGAUGGACCCGCGGCGUAUUAGCUAGUUGGUGAGGUAACGGCUCACCAAGGCAAUGAUACGUAGCCGAACUGAGAGGUUGAUCGGCCACAUUGGGACUGAGACACGGCCCAAACUCCUACGGGAGGCAGCAGUAGGGAAUCUUCCACAAUGGACGCAAGUCUGAUGGAGCAACGCCGCGUGAGUGAAGAAGGCUUUCGGGUCGUAAAACUCUGUUGUUGGAGAAGAAUGGUCGGCAGAGUAACUUCUCUCGG